Molecule: ribosomal RNA, 468 nt
Filed under: uncultured bacterium
Lineage: Bacteria
Description: partial 16S ribosomal RNA
Rfam family: Bacterial small subunit ribosomal RNA
Source: RNAcentral
GACGAACGCUGGCGGCGUGCUUAACACAUGCAAGUCGAACGGAAAGGCCCUGCUUUUGUGGGGUGCUCGAGUGGCGAACGGGUGAGUAACACGUGAGUAACCUGCCCUUGUCUUUGGGAUAACAUCAGGAAACUGGGGCUAAUACCGGAUAGGAGCUCCUGCUGCAUGGUGGGGGUUGGAAAGUUUCGGCGGUUGGGGAUGGACUCGAGGCUUAUCAGCUUGUUGGUGGGGUAGUGGCUUACCAAGGCUUUGACGGGUAGCCGGCCUGAGAGGGUGACCGGCCACAUUGGGACUGAGAUACGGCCCAGACUCCUACGGGAGGCAGCAGUGGGGAAUAUUGCACAAUGGGCGGAAGCCUGAUGCAGCAACGCCGCGUGCGGGAUGACGGCCUUCGGGUUGUAAACCGCUUUCGCCUGUGACGAAGCGUGAGUGACGGUAAUUGGUAAAGAAGCACCGGCUAACUACGUG